UCCCCGUUACCGGGGCAGUCUGGCUAGAGAAAUACAACUAACCAUAAGGGUUGCGCUCGUUAUUGGACUUAACCAAACAUCUCACGACACGAGCUGAAGACGGCCAUGCAACACCUGUCACUGGGUUCCCGAAGGCACUCACUGCUUUCACAGUAAUUCCCAGGAUGUCAAGCCUUGGUAAGGUUCUUCGCUUAGCAUCGAAUUAAACAACAUACUCCACCGCUUGUGCAGCUCCCCGUCAAUUCCUUUGAGUUUUAGUCUUGCGACCGUACUCCCCAGGCGGGAUGCUUAACGCGUUAGCUUCGUUACAGACAGGGUCGAUACUGCCUACAACUAGCAUCCAUAGUUUACGGCGUGGACUAC
Molecule: unclassified non-coding RNA, 363 nt
Filed under: uncultured bacterium
Lineage: Bacteria
Description: contains 16S-23S intergenic spacer region
Source: RNAcentral